CUACGGGUGGCAGCAGUGGGGAAUAUUGCACAAUGGGCGCAAGCCUGAUGCAGCCAUGCCGCGUGUAUGAAGAAGGCCUUCGGGUUGUAAAGUACUUUCAGCGGGGAGGAAGGGAGUAAAGUUAAUACCUUUGCUCAUUGACGUUACCCGCAGAAGAGGCACCGGCUAACUCCGUGCCAGCAGCCGCGGUAAUACGGAGGGUGCAAGCGUUAAUCGGAAUUACUGGGCGUAAAGCGCACGCAGGCGGUUUGUUAAGUCAGAUGUGAAAUCCCCGGGCUCAACCUGGGAACUGCAUCUGAGACUGGCAAGCUUGAGUCUCGUAGAGGGGGGUAGAAUUCCAGGUGUAGCGGUGAAAUGCGUAGAGAUCUGGAGGAAUACCGGUGGCGAAGGCGGCCCCCUGGACGAAGACUGACGCUCAGGUGCGAAAGCGUGGGGAGCAAACAGGAUUAGAUACCCGCGUAGUC
RNAcentral lists this ribosomal RNA (464 nucleotides) under uncultured bacterium. Its description in RNAcentral is "partial 16S ribosomal RNA". It matches the Rfam family "Bacterial small subunit ribosomal RNA", at positions 339 to 795 of the family's 1533-position model. The record is from RNAcentral.